AAGCUCGUAGUUGAACCUUGGGCCUGGCUGGCCGGUCCGCCUCACCGCGUGUACUGGUCCGGCCGGGCCUUUCCCUCUGUGGAACCCCAUGCCCUUCACUGGGUGUGGCGGGGAAACAGGACUUUUACUGUGAAAAAAUUAGAGUGCUCCAGGCAGGCCUAUGCUCGAAUACAUUAGCAUGGAAUAAUAGAAUAGGACGUGUGGUUCUAUUUUGUUGGUUUCUAGGACCGCCGUAAUGAUUAAUAGGGACAGUCGGGGGCAUCAGUAUUCAAUUGUCAGAGGUGAAAUUCUUGGAUUUAUUGAAGACUAACUACUGCGAAAGCAUUUGCCAAGGAUGUUUUCAUUAAUCAGGAACGAAAGUUAGGGGAUCGAAGACGAUCAGAUACCGUCGUAGUCUUAACCAUAAACUAUGCCGACUAGGGAUCGGACGAUGUUAUUUUUUGACUCGUUCGGCACCUUACGGGAAAC
RNAcentral lists this ribosomal RNA (468 nucleotides) under uncultured Ascomycota. RNAcentral describes it as "SSU rRNA". It matches the Rfam family "Eukaryotic small subunit ribosomal RNA", at positions 624 to 1098 of the family's 1831-position model. Lineage: Eukaryota; Fungi; Ascomycota. The record is from RNAcentral.